Long non-coding RNA from Corapipo altera (White-ruffed manakin), 624 nucleotides. RefSeq lists it as uncharacterized. Lineage: Eukaryota; Metazoa; Chordata; Aves; Passeriformes; Pipridae. The transcript is spliced from 3 exons. The record is from RefSeq and is a predicted model, not a curated record.
AAGUGAUGCCAUUUUCCUUCAUGGCUUGUCCUGUCCACUCCUCUGGGCUUUCCAAGCAAGCCAAUCAUGGAUUAGAGUGAGGGCCAAACCUCCAAGUUUUUGUUAAGGCUGGCUGCAGCUCCUCAACCUGUAUUUGCUGUUGUCAAUAGAUGGGCCCAUCAUCACAAUGCAUCAAGGCACAGUAACACUCCAAGCUGCUCCAUGUCCAUCCAGGAAUGCUCUCCACAGCCACAAUUUUAUCUCAAACUCUGGGAAAAAGACUUACUUUCAGAAACAGCAAGUGGUAGGUCUUGGUUUGGGACAUGACUACAGAUCAAAGAGCAGCUAUUGCAAGUAUAUAUCCAUGUAUAUCAACUUGGAUAAUGGAUAACCUCACCAAGAGCUCUGGUCAGCAAGCUGCUAUAAGACAAGAUGCAUGAUUACAGCAUAUCUAAAUUACUGAACAAGACAACAGCAAAAAAAGUCUGUUGAGAUCUUCAAUUCAUCAUCACCCACUGACAGAAAAGCAAUUUCCCUGAAGACUGUUCUGUGGAAAAAUUCAGAUAGAAUCUGGCUGAAAACAGGCUGUAUCUUGAUUUUUAGUGUUGAAGAAUUUAAUUUCAUUUUUAGAAUUUUUGUCAUGUA